CAUGAAGUUGGAUUCGCUAGUAAUCGCGCAUCAGCCAUGGCGCGGUGAAUACGUUCCCGGGCCUUGUACACACCGCCCGUCAAGCCAUGGGAGCUGGGGGUGCCUGAAGUUCGUGACCGCAAGGAUCGACCUAGGGCAAAACCGGUGACUGGGGCUAAGUCGUAACAAGGUAAC
Molecule: ribosomal RNA, 174 nt
Filed under: uncultured bacterium
Lineage: Bacteria
Description: partial 16S ribosomal RNA
Rfam family: Bacterial small subunit ribosomal RNA
Source: RNAcentral